This 399-nucleotide long non-coding RNA is filed under the name Gossypium raimondii (Peruvian cotton). RNAcentral describes it as "long non-coding RNA (GRAI_LNC007271)". Lineage: Eukaryota; Viridiplantae; Streptophyta; Magnoliopsida; Malvales; Malvaceae. The record is from RNAcentral.
AAAAUUAUUCAAAUCGGGCCAUAGUGUAUUGGGCCUAGGGUUUUGGGUAUUUUAGGCUGAAUUAGGUUUGGGUUAAUCUAUAUUGGGCCUAGAGUCUGUAAAUGGACAUUUAAAAUGGACUAUUUUUUUAUUUUUUAUAUUUUUGUUUAUUUAUUUUCGAUUUGGGCCUGGCAAAUUUGGGUUAUUACAUAGUGUGUUGGGAUGGACGGAGAUGGUGUGUAGCGAAUGAGGAUAAGAAUCUGCAUCUGUACCUGAUAUGUUCUGCAUCUAUAUCUGAUAUUCUCUGUUUCUAAUUUUGUAAUUGAGUCUGAGAAAUGAUUGAAUUAUGAACGACUGAAAUCAUAUAUGUUGUACUACCAUUAUUGUUGAAUGUAAGUUACACACUAAGUUAAAACUCAU